GAUGAAGAACGCAGCGAAAUGCGAUAAGUAGUGUGAAUUGCAGAAUUCAGUGAAUCAUCGAAUCUUUGAACGCACAUUGCGCCCUUUGGUAUUCCUUAGGGCAUGCCUGUUCGAGCGUCAUUUCAACCAUCAAGCCCCCGGCUUGUGUUGGGGACCUGCGGCUGCCGCAGGCCCUGAAAACCAGUGGCGGGCUCGCUAGUCACUCCGAGCGUAGUAAUACAUCUCGCUCAGGGCGUGCUGCGGGUUCCGGCCGUUAAAAAGCCUUAUUUACCCAAGGUUGACCUCGGAUCAGGUAGGAAGACCCGCUGAACUUAAGCAUAUCAAUAAGCGGAGGA
Molecule: unclassified non-coding RNA, 335 nt
Filed under: soil metagenome
Description: partial contains 5.8S ribosomal RNA, internal transcribed spacer 2, and large subunit ribosomal RNA
Rfam family: 5.8S ribosomal RNA (bases 1-120)
Source: RNAcentral